This 300-nucleotide ribosomal RNA is filed under the name uncultured Costertonia sp. RNAcentral describes it as "bacterial SSU rRNA". It matches the Rfam family "Bacterial small subunit ribosomal RNA", at positions 496 to 795 of the family's 1533-position model. Lineage: Bacteria; Pseudomonadati; Bacteroidota; Flavobacteriia; Flavobacteriales; Flavobacteriaceae. The record is from RNAcentral.
UCUAACGUCGUGGCAGGGGCGGCGGUAGGAGGUGGGGGUCGAGGGUUGUGCGGAAUUGUGGGGCGUAAAGGGCUCGUAGGCGGGUGGGUGCGGCUAGCGGGAAAACUGGAGGCUUAACCUUCAGCUGGCGGGGGAUACGGGCAGACUUGAGGUCGGUAGGGGAGGCUGGAAUUCCUGGUGUAGCGGUGAAAUGCGCAGAUAUCAGGAGGAACACCGGUGGCGAAGGCGGGUCUCUGGGCCGAUACUGACGCUGAGGAGCGAAAGCGUGGGGAGCGAACAGGAUUAGAUACCCUAGUAGUC